RNAcentral lists this ribosomal RNA (492 nucleotides) under uncultured bacterium. RNAcentral's name for it is "partial 16S ribosomal RNA". It matches the Rfam family "Bacterial small subunit ribosomal RNA", at positions 29 to 507 of the family's 1533-position model. The record is from RNAcentral.
AGUGAACGCUGGCGGUAGGCCUAACACAUGCAAGUCGAACGGCAGCACAGUAAGAGCUUGCUCUUACGGGUGGCGAGUGGCGGACGGGUGAGUAAUACAUCGGAAUCUACUUUUUCGUGGGGGAUAACGUAGGGAAACUUACGCUAAUACCGCAUACGACCUACGGGUGAAAGCAGGGGAUCUUCGGACCUUUCGCGAUUGAAUGAGCCGAUGUCGGAUUAGCUAGUUGGCGGGGUAAAGGCCCACCAAGGCGACGAUCCGUAGCUGGUCUGAGAGGAUGAUAAGAAAAAAGGGAAAGGAGACACGGUAAAGAAGACGACGGGAGGAAGCAGAGGGGAAAAUGGGACAAGGGGCGAAAGAAUGAUACAGAAAUACCGAGUGGGUGAAGAAGGAAUUAGGGUUGUAAAGACCUUUUGUUGGGAAAGAAAAGCAGAAGGUUAAUACCACGCUGUUCUGACGGUAACCAAAGAAUAAGCACCGGCUAACUUCGUG